UUUAUUUGGUUCCUCAACAUUAAGGUAACUGCAAACAUAUUGCCGUAAGAAAAGAAAAGGUAACUCUCCAACUUUAGUCUGCAAUAACUUAAAGGAGCAGACCCAGG
Molecule: long non-coding RNA, 107 nt
Filed under: Microtus ochrogaster (prairie vole)
Lineage: Eukaryota; Metazoa; Chordata; Mammalia; Rodentia; Cricetidae
Description: Polled intersex syndrome regulated transcript 1 (ENSMOCG00000011571.1)
Rfam family: Polled intersex syndrome regulated transcript 1
About the family: PISRT1 (polled intersex syndrome regulated transcript 1) is a noncoding RNA. It has been implicated in the polled intersex (PIS) mutation in goats.
Source: RNAcentral